This 468-nucleotide ribosomal RNA is filed under the name uncultured bacterium. RNAcentral describes it as "partial 16S ribosomal RNA". It matches the Rfam family "Bacterial small subunit ribosomal RNA", at positions 28 to 507 of the family's 1533-position model. The record is from RNAcentral.
GACGAACGCUGGCGGCGUGCUUAACACAUGCAAGUCGAACGGAAAGGCCCUGCUUUUGUGGGGUGCUCGAGUGGCGAACGGGUGAGUAACACGUGAGUAACCUGCCCUUGACUUUGGGAUAACUUCAGGAAACUGGGGCUAAUACCGGAUAGGAGCUCCUGCUGCAUGGAGGGGGUUGGAAAGUUUCGGCGGUCGGGGCUGGAUUCGCGGCUGAUCGGCUUGUUGGUGGGGUAGUGGUAGACCAAGGCUUUGACGGGUAGCCGGCCUGGGAGGGUGACCGGCCACAUUGGGACUGCGGUACGGCCCAGUGUCCUACGGUGGGCAGCAGUGGGGAGUAUUGCACAAUGGGCGCAAGCCUGUUGCAGCAACGCCGCGUGCGGGAUGACGUCCUUCGGGUUGUAAACCGCUUUCGCCUGUGACGAAGCGUGAGUGACGGUAAUGGGUAAAGAAGCACCGGCUAACUACGUG